AGAGUUUGAUCCUGGCUCAGGAUGAACGCUAGCGGCAGGCCUAAUACAUGCAAGUCGAACGGUGAUAGCAAUAUCAUAGUGGCGCACGGGUGCGUAACACGUAUGCAACCUACCUAUUAUUGGGGGAUAGCCUUUGGAAACGGAGAUUAAUACCGCAUAAUACGAUUGACUGGCAUCGGUUGAUUGUUAAAGCUUUGGCGAUAAUAGAUGGGCAUGCGUCCAAUUAGUUAGUUGGUUAGGUAACGGCUGACCAAGACGAUGAUUGGUAGGGGAUCUGAGAGGAUAAUCCCCCACACUGGCACUGAGAUACGGGCCAGACUCCUACGGGAGGCAGCAGUAGGGAAUAUUGGGCAAUGGGCGGAAGCCUGACCCAGCCAUGCCGCGUGCAGGAAGAAGGCGUUAUGCGUUGUAAACUGCUUUUUUAUAGGAAGAAGGAUCCCUUGCGAGGGAAGGUGACGGUACUAUAAGAAUAAGCACCGGCUAACUCCGUGCCAGCAGCCGCGGUAAUACGGAGGGUGCAAGCGUUGUCCGGAUUUAUUGGGUUUAAAGGGUGCGUAGGCGGUUUAUUAAGUCAGUGGUGAAAGACGGUCGCUCAACGAU
This 600-nucleotide ribosomal RNA is filed under the name uncultured bacterium. RNAcentral describes it as "bacterial SSU rRNA". It matches the Rfam family "Bacterial small subunit ribosomal RNA", at positions 8 to 616 of the family's 1533-position model. The record is from RNAcentral.